Molecule: ribosomal RNA, 468 nt
Filed under: uncultured bacterium
Lineage: Bacteria
Description: partial 16S ribosomal RNA
Rfam family: Bacterial small subunit ribosomal RNA
Source: RNAcentral
GACGAACGCUGGCGGCGUGCUUAACACAUGCAAGUCGAACGGACAGGCCCUGCUUUUGUUGGGUGCUCGAUUGGCGAACGGGUGAGUAACACGUGAGUAACCUGCCCUUGACUUUGGGAUAACUUCAGGAAACUGGGGCUAAUACCGGAUAUGAUCUCUUGCUGCAUGUUGGGGGUUGGAAAGUUUCGGCGGUUGGGGAUGGACUCGCUGCUUAUCAGCUUGUUUGUGGGGUAGUGGCGUACCAAGGCUUUGACGGGUAGCCGGCCUGAGAGGGUGACCGGGCACAUGGGGCCUGAGAUACGGCCCAGACGGCUACGGGACGCAGCGGUGGGGAACAUUACACAAUAGGCGGAAGCCAGAUACAGCAACGCCGCGUGCGGGAUGACGGGCUUUGGGUUGUAAACCGCUGUCGCCUGUGACGAAGCGUGAGUGACGGUAAUGGGUAAAGAAGCACCGGCUAACUACGUG